CUCUGCAGUUUUUUCAACCUACCAAUAGCAUUGGGUAACCUUUCAAUUGGAGAAUAACUAAUGUCCAGGUGUUGCAAAUUCUGUAAAUUCCCAAUUGAGUUAGGGAUUUCUUUCAAUGACCCACAACCGCUAAGGUCAAGGUGUUGGAGAGAGGAAAGAUUCCCAAUUGAGCUGGGGAUUUCUGUCAAUGACCAACAAUUCAGGCACUCAGUUUCUCCAGCUUCCUUAGAGAACCAAUUGACAUAGGAAAUUCUUUAAUACCAGCACCAUCUAAAAUAAGUUCUUUUAGUUCUUCUAAUUUGCCCACUUCUUCUGGUAGCUCCUUGAGACUUCUACAGCCAGUCAAGUCCAAGGAAAUGAGGCUCUUGAGUUUGCCAAUAGAAGGGUGGAGUUGCUCGAGUAUGUAACAAUGUUUCAAAAUGAGAAUCUCCAACUCCGUGAAAGCUGAGAGGUCUGGAGUAGAUUUUAAAGUGCAGUUU
Rhodamnia argentea is the source of this 479-nucleotide long non-coding RNA. RefSeq lists it as uncharacterized. NCBI's taxonomy places the organism in Eukaryota, Viridiplantae, Streptophyta, Magnoliopsida, Myrtales, Myrtaceae. The transcript has 3 exons. The record is from RefSeq and is a predicted model, not a curated record.